Molecule: ribosomal RNA, 2902 nt
Filed under: Escherichia coli HVH 38 (4-2774682)
Lineage: Bacteria; Pseudomonadati; Pseudomonadota; Gammaproteobacteria; Enterobacterales; Enterobacteriaceae
Description: bacterial LSU rRNA
Rfam family: Bacterial large subunit ribosomal RNA
Source: RNAcentral
UUAAGCGACUAAGCGUACACGGUGGAUGCCCUGGCAGUCAGAGGCGAUGAAGGACGUGCUAAUCUGCGAUAAGCGUCGGUAAGGUGAUAUGAACCGUUAUAACCGGCGAUUUCCGAAUGGGGAAACCCAGUGUGUUUCGACACACUAUCAUUAACUGAAUCCAUAGGUUAAUGAGGCGAACCGGGGGAACUGAAACAUCUAAGUACCCCGAGGAAAAGAAAUCAACCGAGAUUCCCCCAGUAGCGGCGAGCGAACGGGGAGGAGCCCAGAGCCUGAAUCAGUGUGUGUGUUAGUGGAAGCGUCUGGAAAGGCGUGCGAUACAGGGUGACAGCCCCGUACACAAAAAUGCACAUAUUGUGAGCUCGAUGAGUAGGGCGGGACACGUGGUAUCCUGUCUGAAUAUGGGGGGACCAUCCUCCAAGGCUAAAUACUCCUGACUGACCGAUAGUGAACCAGUACCGUGAGGGAAAGGCGAAAAGAACCCCGGCGAGGGGAGUGAAAAAGAACCUGAAACCGUGUACGUACAAGCAGUGGGAGCCUCUUAAUGGGGUGACUGCGUACCUUUUGUAUAAUGGGUCAGCGACUUAUAUUCUGUAGCAAGGUUAACCGAAUAGGGGAGCCGAAGGGAAACCGAGUCUUAACUGGGCGUUAAGUUGCAGGGUAUAGACCCGAAACCCGGUGAUCUAGCCAUGGGCAGGUUGAAGGUUGGGUAACACUAACUGGAGGACCGAACCGACUAAUGUUGAAAAAUUAGCGGAUGACUUGUGGCUGGGGGUGAAAGGCCAAUCAAACCGGGAGAUAGCUGGUUCUCCCCGAAAGCUAUUUAGGUAGCGCCUCGUGAAUUCAUCUCCGGGGGUAGAGCACUGUUUCGGCAAGGGGGUCAUCCCGACUUACCAACCCGAUGCAAACUGCGAAUACCGGAGAAUGUUAUCACGGGAGACACACGGCGGGUGCUAACGUCCGUCGUGAAUAGGGAAACAACCCAGACCGCCAGCUAAGGUCCCAAAGUCAUGGUUAAGUGGGAAACGAUGUGGGAAGGCCCAGACAGCCAGGAUGUUGGCUUAGAAGCAGCCAUCAUUUAAAGAAAGCGUAAUAGCUCACUGGUCGAGUCGGCCUGCGCGGAAGAUGUAACGGGGCUAAACCAUGCACCGAAGCUGCGGCAGCGACACUAUGUGUUGUUGGGUAGGGGAGCGUUCUGUAAGCCUGUGAAGGUGGCCUGUGAGGGUUGCUGGAGGUAUCAGAAGUGCGAAUGCUGACAUAAGUAACGAUAAAGCGGGUGAAAAGCCCGCUCGCCGGAAGACCAAGGGUUCCUGUCCAACGUUAAUCGGGGCAGGGUGAGUCGACCCCUAAGGCGAGGCCGAAAGGCGUAGUCGAUGGGAAACAGGUUAAUAUUCCUGUACUUGGUGUUACUGCGAAGGGGGGACGGAGAAGGCUAUGUUGGCCGGGCGACGGUUGUCCCGGUUUAAGCGUGUAGGCUGGUUUUCCAGGCAAAUCCGGAAAACCAAGGCUGAGGCGUGAUGACGAGGCACUACGGUGCUGAAGCGACAAAUGCCCUGCUUCCAGGAAAAGCCUCUAAGCAUCAGGUAACAUCAAAUCGUACCCCAAACCGACACAGGUGGUCAGGUAGAGAAUACCAAGGCGCUUGAGAGAACUCGGGUGAAGGAACUAGGCAAAAUGGUGCCGUAACUUCGGGAGAAGGCACGCUGAUAUGUAGGUGAAGCGACUUGCUCGUGGAGCUGAAAUCAGUCGAAGAUACCAGCUGGCUGCAACUGUUUAUUAAAAACACAGCACUGUGCAAACACGAAAGUGGACGUAUACGGUGUGACGCCUGCCCGGUGCCGGAAGGUUAAUUGAUGGGGUUAGCGGCAACGCGAAGCUCUUGAUCGAAGCCCCGGUAAACGGCGGCCGUAACUAUAACGGUCCUAAGGUAGCGAAAUUCCUUGUCGGGUAAGUUCCGACCUGCACGAAUGGCGUAAUGAUGGCCAGGCUGUCUCCACCCGAGACUCAGUGAAAUUGAACUCGCUGUGAAGAUGCAGUGUACCCGCGGCAAGACGGAAAGACCCCGUGAACCUUUACUAUAGCUUGACACUGAACAUUGAGCCUUGAUGUGUAGGAUAGGUGGGAGGCUUUGAAGUGUGGACGCCAGUCUGCAUGGAGCCGACCUUGAAAUACCACCCUUUAAUGUUUGAUGUUCUAACGUUGGCCCGUAAUCCGGGUUGCGGACAGUGUCUGGUGGGUAGUUUGACUGGGGCGGUCUCCUCCUAAAGAGUAACGGAGGAGCACGAAGGUUGGCUAAUCCUGGUCGGACAUCAGGAGGUUAGUGCAAUGGCAUAAGCCAGCUUGACUGCGAGCGUGACGGCGCGAGCAGGUGCGAAAGCAGGUCAUAGUGAUCCGGUGGUUCUGAAUGGAAGGGCCAUCGCUCAACGGAUAAAAGGUACUCCGGGGAUAACAGGCUGAUACCGCCCAAGAGUUCAUAUCGACGGCGGUGUUUGGCACCUCGAUGUCGGCUCAUCACAUCCUGGGGCUGAAGUAGGUCCCAAGGGUAUGGCUGUUCGCCAUUUAAAGUGGUACGCGAGCUGGGUUUAGAACGUCGUGAGACAGUUCGGUCCCUAUCUGCCGUGGGCGCUGGAGAACUGAGGGGGGCUGCUCCUAGUACGAGAGGACCGGAGUGGACGCAUCACUGGUGUUCGGGUUGUCAUGCCAAUGGCACUGCCCGGUAGCUAAAUGCGGAAGAGAUAAGUGCUGAAAGCAUCUAAGCACGAAACUUGCCCCGAGAUGAGUUCUCCCUGAGACUUAGAGUCUCCUGAAGGAACGUUGAAGACGACGACGUUGAUAGGCCGGGUGUGUAAGCGCAGCGAUGCGUUGAGCUAACCGGUACUAAUGAACCGUGAGGCUUAACCUU